CCUUGACAUGCAGAGAACUUCCAGAGAUGGAUUGGUGCCUUCGGGAACUCUGACACAGGUGCUGCAUGGCUGUCGUCAGCUCGUGUCGUGACGAUGUUGGGUUAAGUCCCGUAACGAGCGCAACCCUUGUCCUUAGUUACCAGCACGUUAUGGUGGGCACUCUAAGGAGACUGCCGGUGACAAACCGGAGGAAGGUGGGGAUGACGUCAAGUCAUCAUGGCCCUUACGGCCUGGGCUACACACGUGCUACAAUGGUCGGUACAAAGGGUUGCCAAGCCGCGAGGUGGAGCUAAUCCCAUAAAACCGAUCGUAGUCCGGAUCGCAGUCUGCAACUCGACUGCGUGAAGUCGGAAUCGCUAGUAAUCGUGAAUCAGAAUGUCACGGUGAAUACGUUCCCGGGCCUU
This 404-nucleotide ribosomal RNA is filed under the name uncultured Pseudomonas sp. RNAcentral describes it as "bacterial SSU rRNA". It matches the Rfam family "Bacterial small subunit ribosomal RNA", at positions 979 to 1382 of the family's 1533-position model. Lineage: Bacteria; Pseudomonadati; Pseudomonadota; Gammaproteobacteria; Pseudomonadales; Pseudomonadaceae. The record is from RNAcentral.